AAAAAAAAAUUACCAUAGUUUUUUCUGUCAGUAACAUUCUAGAUUUGAAGUUGGAGCUGCAGCAGGUGUCAGAGGGCCACUUGUCACCACAGCUUGGAAAUGUGACAAGUUGUCAGAAUGGGUUGGAUGUCCCAGGCUGUUAUUAGCCAUCUGUUUGCAGCUCUGGGCAGGUCAGCUGCCUGGACUUGACCAGAGCCACCCCUUAAUUAUAGAAUUUACAAUUCCAGCCAAUUUAGAGCUGAUUUUGCUUAUUGUUUAUAGAAGGAAGAUGUGUCACACAGCACGGCACUGACUUGUUUCUGGGAUUUUGUGGAAACUGUGGCAUACAAUUUAGGAUUUGGCUGCCGGUGGCUCCCCUGGGCACCAAAAGAGAGUGAGUCUGUGCCCUGCCUGCCUGCCUUCACUUUCUGCGACUGCUUUUCUAACGUCAGGAUGUCCAGCUGCGUAGGAGAAGCUCCUGUGUAUGUUUGGUGUGUGUCAUCCUUACAGUAACCAGACAUGAGGUUACCCUUGCUGUUUGUGAGUGCUCAUCUUUGUUCCCGUAACUAUUCCCAGAGAAGUCACUCCUCAGAAAUGUGCAAGGUCAUUGACUAAGAGUGGGAUACUAUUGUGUCCCACUCCCCUAACAGAAUAGUAAAGUUUCACCACGUUCCUAACAUUUCCAAGGCCAAACAAGCACUUGAAAAUAAGAUAGAGAGAACUGUAUUUUGAUAGCUCUAGCAGGCUUUCCCUUUUUUCUCUGAAACUCAUUUGAAACCACUCUGUAACUAAUUGGAGUUACUCUGCAUGCCAAGGGAAGUUGUGAUGAGGGAGGAUCACACAACAUAAGGGAACAGUGGUGCACCAUAACCACUACUGAAAGAACUACAGUCUGAGAAAAAGUGAUCACAGGGAGAUGGAAGGUAUUCAGGGGAGAAGAUCAAGAAGAGGACCACAACCAGAGCCCAUGACUGCUUGUGUUACAUAAAAGGAAAGACUCCAGAAAAAGAUACUUGUUGGAUAUGAAAUAAAUUUCAUCAGAAGAAAUCUGAUACAGCAAGGUUUUACAUACUCACAGGACCCUGCUUCAUUCAGCGCGCAGGAUGAACAGUGCUUGGAAUGAAUCAGCACAACACAAUGAGAGAGUCUGUUGUUUGCAGGACUCAUCUCAGUUGUUGAGGAAGCUGGGAUAUGUGUUUUGAAUGAUUUGGGAUGUCAAGAAAAGAACGGAUGGUCUUGUAGCUGAGGAAACUGUAUGUUGCCCUUGAGAAUGAGUUUCUGUCACUGCCUCUGCCAAAAAAGACACUGUGAGGGACUGUUUUGGGGGUGAUUUUUUUUUUUUUCCUUAGGUAACCAUUAACUGUGAACAUCUGAUUUUCCUAGAAAUUUCAGGGCAUAGGUCCACAUUCUGUACUACCACAAUCAAAGAAAAUAUUUAACUCAGUGAGUGCUGUUCAUUCUUGCACUUCGGGGAAAAUGUCGUGUGCAGUCAUAAUUAAGAGAUGUUUUACAAGGGAGUUGUGCUUUUAAUACUUCAUAUUGUGCUCUUAAUAGAGCUAUUUGAGCUAUAGAGCUAUUAAAAUUACCUGUAUAUACAUACCUAACAUUUACUGAACUGUUAAACAGGAAACUAGGAAAAGUGACUAAGAGUAAAUCAGUCUUUAGUAGGUAUGGAUAUGGAAUACCAGUGCAAGUUAACUAAUAUUUUAAGUACAAGUUUCCUUAUUUAUAAUGACAGUCUGUGUUUAUCUUUGACACUCACCUGUAUAUCCUAUUAAAGUAGCUGCAAACUGUCUGUGAAGGACUUGUUUUGUUUUGCAAUCUCUUUAAAUAGUCCAGUUUAUUUUCAGUUUUAGGGGAUUAUUUUAAAAUCAAGGCCUAAAUGAAACUGGUGUAUCAGCUUCCACAUAUUUAACUUGCAUCUAGUUUGUUCUCCAAGUAACUCGUUGUGGUUGUCCAUUCCAUUUCCAUUUUAAUACCUAUUUUUCAGCAUCAGUCUAACCAAUGUGACAUUGAUGUGGGAAGAAUUACUUUUUGCUUAUUUAGAACAAAUUAGAAGCAAUGCAGUUGGCCUCUGCUCCCAUGUAGCUAGGUCUUACUUCAGAAGCGCCUUAUCAAUGAAGAGAAAUAUCCACACUGUACUCAGAAGUUGGACUGCAAGUGACAGUCUGCUCAGAUGAGUUGUUGCUAAAAUGUGAAUAUUAUUUCUCUAAAUCAUAGAAACCAAAGAAAGAAUCAUAAGAGCAGAAAACAACAGCAAAAAGUCUUAUCUCUGACAUCUUUAAACUAUAUCACCUUCAGUAAUAUUCUCAACCAGGGUCUCUAUGCCAUAGCUUAGAAGGAGAUUCUCAGCUUUCCGAGAUAUUCUGUUUCUAACUGUUGUGCUCUUCUGAAGUAAUUGAACUGGAACUAACUGUGCUGUUUUACAGUGGAGAAAAAAAACUGACAUUUCCAAAAUUUUACUCCCAUUUUAUCUUCACCUAUUACAUAAUGAAAUGUAAUGGCAGUAUAUUAGUAGUCUAAAAAUACUUAUUUGUAUGUGAGCACUUAUCCCUUCUGUUGUUAUUCUGCAUUUGAGCAGUUUAGUUUAAGGAUCUGAAUAAUUUUUUUUUUUUUUUUCAGUGAGGGUUUGUAUUUUGGGUUUGCUGUUUCUUAUGGCGAAGAGUGAAGGGAGAGGUAAAAAAGGGAGAUCACUGACAGUCCUGCUGGAUUCUAAUUUUUUUUUUUUGGAGUCAUAACAGGUUAUCUUGCUUUUUAAGUAGUCAUUCAUCAUAGAAGCUGGGUAAAAUCAUAAACUCACAUCAGAUGUUUUUACUUGAGUUUUUAUUCACAGCAAUCAACCCUAGUUCAGGAUAAUAAAAACUGAUGAGCUUUAUGAGAAUAUUCCAGGGUUGAGGAGGGUCAGGAUGUGGCUGUGAUUGUGGAAGUGUGUCUACUCAGCACAGAUGGGAAGAUGAAUAUCACUGCCACUGCUGCACAAGUACCCUGAGCUGCAAAGGAGCGAAUCCAGCUGAAUAAGUGAGGCUUCCAGCCAGGGGUGUUCUCAUAAAAGCACAGUCGUGCUGUGUGCCACGUUGUAAGAUUUUGCUUAAAUCAGGUUCCUCCAAAGCAAGGAUAUUGGGUCUAGAGACUAGAGAAUGACUUUAAGAAGACCAGUUAAGUCAUAGAGCUUUUUCUGUCAGGCUUAUGCCUUAUAGUAAAGCAACUCCUAACCUUCCCAUAAUCUUCUGAAUCUUACGUUAGAAUCAAAUUGUAUUCUGAAAAAAAAAUAGGCCUUGUCUACCUCAUCCUCAGCUUCUAUCAUUUAUUAAGAGUAAAAACUAUGGGCCAUUUCAAACGGUCAGAGCUGUCUGUUUCCUUAAAUUUUUCUUUGGAUAGAUUCUGAGAAGUGCUACUUUGAGUUUUCCUAUUUCCUGUAUCAACUAUAGCAGUCUGUAUAUUAGGUGGAGAACACUAUUUCUAAAUCUGUCAUGACAACAGAACUUUGUUCAAAUAAAUUAAUGCAAAAAUAAUACUUAACCUUUUUGGCCUAGUGUUACCCAGAGAUGUAGAAUACAAAAGCAGAGACUGUGUCACAUCAGGUGACAUCAGCUUUUCCUUAACACUAAUAUUAGUAGCAAGCCUGGGGAUGUAGAAAAUACUGCACAAUUCAUUACCGUAUUUCUGAAUGAUCAAAUCUCUUUGUAUGAGAAGGGCUAUAAAUACUUUAUUCUGCAGCCCAAGGGCAAAUCUAUGAUAGAGACAAGAUUCUGCAGCCACAGAUUACAGAAAACUCAGCAUUCUAUUGUGCCAUUAAUAGGAGCUUCUAAGUACUUCUGAGAUGACCUAAAAAUAAAUCAGUGCAGCUCUUCUGUUUUAUAGACAAAUUUAUUAGAGACAUGGGGGAAGGGAGCAAGAGAAGAGAAAAAUGCAUAUGCAAACAAAUUUUCAGAAGCAACAUUUUCUGAAGAGUGUGUGUUAUGCAAGUAGGCAGGUAAGACUCGGACUUGAGUAAAUACCCUAUGUGAAAUCCACAUCUAAAUUAAAAUGCAGUAACUUGCAAAUGUUGAUUGUGAGCCAGCCAACACUGAGAAGUCUCUGCAGUCAAGGUGCUUGUCACUUGUAGUGAAGAAGGAUAAUUCUGCUCUAAAUAGAUUGAGGUUACUGCUCAAAAAAUCUCUCAGCUGUUCCCUUUCACUUACGAAUAGAACAACUAAAACUGCCUGCAAUCUAUGGAUUGAAGUAGGACUUGACUUUAUCAAUAGAUAAUGGUAUAGCACUAGGGACAAACUUCAGUUCAAACCUGUAAGGCAAUUGAAAGAUUGAGCUACUGGGACAUCCCCGAGAUGUGGAUUUCAGCACACUCUUAGACAGACAGGUUAUGUGCUCGAUUUUGAACUCCCUUUGAAUACUAGAUGGGAUUUCUUCCUUCAUUAUUCCUCCUUCAUAGCUAUGUCAGAAUCUCUCUCCCAAUUUUUCAUGUGGUUCUUGAGCAGUGAGUGUGUAGCCAUUUUUUCCUUGGGCUGAUGCUAUGUUUGUUACUAAGUUAAUUAUUUUCCUGUUACUUCUAUAGGAAGCUAACAUACCCUUUCAUGCACUUUCUGAAGUGCUCUCUUGGAAGAGACUCCUGGAAGAGGGGCUCUCUAUUGUUUUGAUCAAAAGAAUGGUCAGGAUUAUAUGUACUAUUUCAAAAAAUGUUAAUACAUGCUUGAGCUUGUAAUAAUGUCAUCAAUGUUGCUCUUUUUUUAACUGGAAAUACCUUGCUUCAUAGUUGCUUCAAUUGUAUUUCUGUUUCUUGGGUGUAGGAGGUUGAUAAUAACUUUGACUAUUAAAUCCAUAUCUUUCUUCCAUCACUUUGUCUGAGAUUCCAGAAAUAAUUCUUGUUAUUGCCCUUUAUUUAUGACCUUGCAUUCUGUACAAUUGAUUUUCAUCCAAUUACUAUUACUUUGGCUCCCAAGGUCAUUGACGUUUAGUGUGACAGUACAGUUCCCUUCUGCAUGGCCAAUUCUUUUCAAUAACAUACUAUCAGCAGAUCUCAGUGGCACACUUUUAUUUUGUACAGUAAGUUUAUAAACAUAAAUAUUAAAUAUUUGCCUCAUGAUGGCUCUUUGAGGACUUCACCCAGAAACCUAUAAGAACUUCUGGUUCAGCAUUCCUCUACAGUCUGUGUAAAGAAGGCAGAUUCACAGUUUACUUAGCUUGACUGAAUUGCUACUCUUUGCAAUGUCUGAUAAAUAUUUACAAAUGUUUCACGAACCUUGUGUUUACAUCAAUAAGGAUGAUAUUUAUGGUGAAAAUAGCUGGAAUGGAAAAGAAGUUUUAAAACUGAAAACAGGUGCAUAGGAAAACAGUGCAGGGUUUUUUUUCUGCAAUUACUUUAGCUGCACCUGUGCAAUAUAGUAUUAAAUCUUACACUGAAAUUGGUAGUAAAAAGACAAACUGACAGCAGAAAAAUUAUCUUUCAUCUGGAAAAUGACAAGUCUGUGUUUCUUCUUUCUUUGAGAAGAAAAAUAUACAGUUCUCUACAACAAUAUAAAGCAAUGCUGACACCUACAGAGAAUGUAUGUAAAUAUCAAGAUAGAAUUUGCAUUUUCUGUGGGAAUUUCCAGAAUUAUUUGGUAAAAGACCAAAUGAUUUAAAGCAAACUUUUAUAUCUUUAUAUCUGCUAAGCAGAAGAUAAAGAUUCAUUUUUCUUUGGUAAAUAAGAUACAACUUUGAACAUUAACCAUAUGCUUUUAAAAUUAUACAACUUUUAGUAAUGUACACUUCCAAGUGCUGUUUUUUUUUUUUUUUACAAAUUGAUUCAUACAUAGCCAUGAACCAAGCCAUCAACAUGAUGCACAUUGCUGCACAGAAUCUGGUUUACUGCCUCUGGUGGGCUGUUUCCCCUUCCCUCCCUCACUGUGACACAACAGGAUUACAUUAAUAUUACCGGGGUUUGAAGCUUUUGUGCUCAGCCAAACAGGUCUAUAAAAACUUCUAUGUACUAUUUUGCCUAUAUGUGGAGUAAAGUUAAAGAAAAAUUAGCCUAACUUAUUGAGGAGAGAUUACAUAGAAGAGACAUAGCUCUUUUAUUGAGUAUUUUUUCACUGGUGUAUUAUUAUGAGUUAUGCAAGCUGUGAUAUUCAACACACUGGUGCAGAAAGGUGGACUCCUCUCCUUCAAAGCACAUGAUAGAUACGGCUUGGACCCAACUCAACUUGUGAACAAAAGGAAAAAAAGUAGUAAGACUGAAUGACUUCAAAGCUUGCUUUAGAGUUCAGGGUUGUUUUUUUUUUUACCCAUAGAGAGCUACAAAACAGAAAGCAAUACUAUUCAUUGAAGGCAAGUAAUAAUUAUUUUGACGUAAAAGGCUGAAUAAACCCCCUCUGUUCUAGUCUU
Columba livia (rock pigeon) is the source of this 6339-nucleotide long non-coding RNA. RefSeq lists it as uncharacterized. NCBI's taxonomy places the organism in Eukaryota, Metazoa, Chordata, Aves, Columbiformes, Columbidae. The record is from RefSeq and is a predicted model, not a curated record. The transcript has 4 exons.